RNAcentral lists this ribosomal RNA (254 nucleotides) under uncultured bacterium. RNAcentral describes it as "partial 16S ribosomal RNA". It matches the Rfam family "Bacterial small subunit ribosomal RNA", at positions 524 to 776 of the family's 1533-position model. The record is from RNAcentral.
UACGGGGGGAGCAAGCGUUGUUCGGAUUUACUGGGCGUAAAGGGCGCGUAGGCGGUCAGUGCAAGUCAGUUGUGAAAUCUCCGGGCUUAACUCGGAACGGCCAAGUGAAACUGUCAUGCUAGAGUGCAGAAGGGGCAAUCGGAAUUCUUGGUGUAGCGGUGAAAUGCGUAGAUAUCAAGAGGAACACCUGAGGUGAAGACGGGUUGCUGGGCUGACACUGACGCUGAGGCGCGAAAGCCAGGGGAGCAAACGGG